GGGUAACGAAGCGAACGUGGCGAACUGAAACAUCUAAGUAGCUACAGGAAAAGAAAUCAACCGAGAUUCCCAAAGUAGUGGCGAGCGAAAUGGGAUCAGCCUGCAAGAUUUAGCAUCAACGAUAGCAAAACGGAAUGGAAAGUCCGGCCAUAGUGGGUGAUAGCCCCGUAUGCGAAAUCGAUGGUGUGGAACUAGGCUUGCGACAAGUAGGGCGGGACACGUGAAAUCCUGUCUGAACAUGGGGGGACCAUCCUCCAAGGCUAAAUACUCGUAAUCGACCGAUAGUGAACCAGUACCGUGAGGGAAAGGCGAAAAGAACCCCGGAAGGGGAGUGAAAUAGAUCCUGAAACCGUGUGCAUACAAACAGUAGGAGCCCUGUAAGGGGUGACUGCGUACCUUUUGUAUAAUGGGUCAGCGACUUACAUUCAGUGGCAAGCUUAACCGAAUAGGGAAGGCGCAGAGAAAUCGAGUCCGAAUAGGGCGUUCAGUCGCUGGGUGUAGACCCGAAACCAAGUGAUCUAUCCAUGGCCAGGUUGAAGGUGCGGUAACACGCACUGGAGGACCGAGCCCACUAAUGUUGAAAAAUUAGGGGAUGAGCUGUGGAUAGGGGUGAAAGGCUAAACAAACUUGGAAAUAGCUGGUUCUCUCCGAAAACUAUUUAGGUAGUGCCUCAAGUAUCACCAUCGGGGGUAGAGCACUGUUAUGGCUAGGGGGUCAUCGCGACUUACCAAACCAUUGCAAACUCCGAAUACCGAUGAGUGCGAGCUUGGGAGACAGACGCCGGGUGCUAACGUCCGACGUCAAGAGGGAAACAACCCAGACCGCCAGCUAAGGUCCCAAAGAUUGGCUAAGUGGAAAACGAAGUGGGAAGGCUAAAACAGUCAGGAGGUUGGCUUAGAAGCAGCCAUCCUUUAAAGAAAGCGUAAUAGCUCACUGAUCGAGUCGUCCUGCGCGGAGAUGUAACGGGGCUAAGCCAGUCACCGAAGCUGCGGAUAUCCGUAAGGAUAUGGUAGGAGAGCGUUCUGUAAGCCUGUGAAGGUGUCUUGUAAAGGAUGCUGGAGGUAUCAGAAGUGCGAAUGCUGACAUGAGUAGCGAUAAUGCGGGUGAAAAGCCCGCACGCCGUAAGCCCAAGGUUUCCUGUUCAACGUUCAUCGGAGCAGGGUGAGUCGGCCCCUAAGGCGAGGCAGAGAUGCGUAGCUGAUGGGAAGCAGGUUAAUAUUCCUGCACCGUCGUUAGAUGCGAUGGGGGGACGGAUCGCGGAAGGUUGUCCGACUGUUGGAAUAGUCGGUUUUUGCAUCGAAGAAGGCUGUUAGGCAAAUCCGGCAGCGUAAUUCAAGGGUGUGAGACGAGCGAACUUGUUCGCGAAGCAAUCGGAAGUGGUUCCAAGAAAAGCCUCUAAGCUUCAGUCUAACGAGACCGUACCGCAAACCGACACAGGUGGGCGAGAUGAGUAUUCUAAGGCGCUUGAGAGAACUCGGGAGAAGGAACUCGGCAAAUUGGUACCGUAACUUCGGGAUAAGGUACGCCCAAGUAGUUUGACUGGCCUGCGCCAGGAGGACAAAAGGGUUGCAAUAAAAUGGUGGCUGCGACUGUUUAAUAAAAACACAGCACUCUGCAAACACGAAAGUGGACGUAUAGGGUGUGACGCCUGCCCGGUGCUGGAAGAUUAAAUGAUGGGGUGCAAGCUCUUGAUUGAAGUCCCAGUAAACGGCGGCCGUAACUAUAACGGUCCUAAGGUAGCGAAAUUCCUUGUCGGGUAAGUUCCGACCUGCACGAAUGGCGUAACGAUGGCCACACUGUCUCCUCCCGAGACUCAGCGAAGUUGAAAUGUUUGUGAUGAUGCAAUCUACCCGCGGCUAGACGGAAAGACCCCAUGAACCUUUACUGUAGCUUUGCAUUGGACUUUGAACCAAUCUGUGUAGGAUAGGUGGGAGGCUUUGAAGUAGGGACGCUAGUCUCUAUGGAGCCAACCUUGAAAUACCACCCUGGUUUGUUUGAGGUUCUAACCUUGGUCCGUUAUCCGGAUCGGGGACAGUGCAUGGUAGGCAGUUUGACUGGGGCGGUCUCCUCCCAAAGUGUAACGGAGGAGUUCGAAGGUACGCUAGGUACGGUCGGACAUCGUGCUAAUAGUGCAAUGGCAUAAGCGUGCUUAACUGCGAGACUGACAAGUCGAGCAGGUACGAAAGUAGGACAUAGUGAUCCGGUGGUUCUGUAUGGAAGGGCCAUCGCUCAACGGAUAAAAGGUACUCUGGGGAUAACAGGCUGAUUCCUCCCAAGAGUUCAUAUCGACGGGGGAGUUUGGCACCUCGAUGUCGGCUCAUCACAUCCUGGGGCUGUAGCCGGUCCCAAGGGUAUGGCUGUUCGCCAUUUAAAGUGGUACGUGAGCUGGGUUUAAAAC
This 2398-nucleotide ribosomal RNA is filed under the name Herbaspirillum huttiense subsp. putei. Its description in RNAcentral is "bacterial LSU rRNA". It matches the Rfam family "Bacterial large subunit ribosomal RNA", at positions 169 to 2617 of the family's 2925-position model. Lineage: Bacteria; Pseudomonadati; Pseudomonadota; Betaproteobacteria; Burkholderiales; Oxalobacteraceae. The record is from RNAcentral.